Molecule: ribosomal RNA, 465 nt
Filed under: Vreelandella stevensii
Lineage: Bacteria; Pseudomonadati; Pseudomonadota; Gammaproteobacteria; Oceanospirillales; Halomonadaceae
Description: partial 16S ribosomal RNA
Rfam family: Bacterial small subunit ribosomal RNA
Source: RNAcentral
CCUACGGGGGGCUGCAGUGGGGAAUAUUGGACAAUGGGGGGAACCCUGAUCCAGCCAUGCCGCGUGUGUGAAGAAGGCCCUCGGGUUGUAAAGCACUUUCAGUGAGGAAGAACGCCUGGUGGUUAAUACCCAUCAGGAAAGACAUCACUCACAGAAGAAGCACCGGCUAACUCCGUGCCAGCAGCCGCGGUAAUACGGAGGGUGCGAGCGUUAAUCGGAAUUACUGGGCGUAAAGCGCGCGUAGGUGGCUUGAUAAGCCGGUUGUGAAAGCCCCGGGCUCAACCUGGGAACGGCAUCCGGAACUGUCAAGCUAGAGUGCAGGAGAGGAAGGUAGAAUUCCCGGUGUAGCGGUGAAAUGCGUAGAGAUCGGGCGGAAUACCAGUGGCGAAGGCGGCCUUCUGGACUGACACUGACACUGAGGUGCGAAAGCGUGGGUAGCAAACAGGAUUAGAUACCCUUGUAGUC